RNAcentral lists this non-coding RNA (26 nucleotides) under Rattus norvegicus (Norway rat). Lineage: Eukaryota; Metazoa; Chordata; Mammalia; Rodentia; Muridae. The record is from RNAcentral.
UGAUCACAGAAUGCUGGGUUGUUUGU